This 386-nucleotide ribosomal RNA is filed under the name uncultured bacterium. Its description in RNAcentral is "bacterial SSU rRNA". It matches the Rfam family "Bacterial small subunit ribosomal RNA", at positions 1061 to 1453 of the family's 1533-position model. The record is from RNAcentral.
CGUGUCGUGAGAUGUUGGGUUAAGUCCCGCAACGAGCGCAACCCUUGUCCCUAGUUGCUACGCAAGAGCACUCUAGGGAGACUGCCGGUGACAAACCGGAGGAAGGUGGGGAUGACGUCAAGUCCUCAUGGCCCUUAUGGGUAGGGCUUCACACGUCAUACAAUGGUCGGAACAGAGGGUCGCCAACCCGUGAGGGGGAGCCAAUCCCAGAAAACCGAUCGUAGUCCGGAUCGCACUCUGCAACUCGAGUGCGUGAAGCUGGAAUCGCUAGUAAUCGCGGAUCAGCAUGCCGCGGUGAAUACGUUCCCGGGUCUUGUACACACCGCCCGUCACACCAUGGGAGUGGGUUUUACCAGAAGUGGCUAGUCUAACCGCAAGGAGGACGG